CCUACGGGUGGCUGCAGUGGGGAAUAUUGGACAAUGGGGGGAACCCUGAUCCAGCCAUGCCGCGUGUGUGAAGAAGGCCCUCGGGUUGUAAAGCACUUUCAGUGAGGAAGAACGCCUGGUGGUUAAUACCCAUCAGGAAAGACAUCACUCACAGAAGAAGCACCGGCUAACUCCGUGCCAGCAGCCGCGGUAAUACGGAGGGUGCGAGCGUUAAUCGGAAUUACUGGGCGUAAAGCGCGCGUAGGUGGCUUGAUAAGCCGGUUGUGAAAGCCCCGGGCUCAACCUGGGAACGGCAUCCGGAACUGUCAAGCUAGAGUGCAGGAGAGGAAGGGAGAAUUCCCGGUGUAGCGGUGAAAUGCGUAGAGAUCGGGAGGAAUACCAGUGGCGAAGGCGGCCUUCUGGACUGACACUGACACUGAGGUGCGAAAGCGUGGGUAGCAAACAGGAUUAGAUACCCCGGUAGUC
RNAcentral lists this ribosomal RNA (465 nucleotides) under Vreelandella stevensii. RNAcentral describes it as "partial 16S ribosomal RNA". It matches the Rfam family "Bacterial small subunit ribosomal RNA", at positions 338 to 795 of the family's 1533-position model. The record is from RNAcentral. Lineage: Bacteria; Pseudomonadati; Pseudomonadota; Gammaproteobacteria; Oceanospirillales; Halomonadaceae.